GGCGCGAGGCUGCCUUUCCCGGGAUCACCAGGGACCACCCGGCGCGCUCCCCGGGAAUCCGCACCCCUGGCCCCAGCGCUCCGGAGCGACCCGGGUCAGCCCCUGGCUGCCUGCAAUGGGCCCCCGGGCGAACCCCGGGCGGACCCAGGAGUGAGCACCCGGUGCGCGGCAACGAUGAUCCCGCAAGGGAAGCUCACGGGAGGCAGGAGCUGUGGCAGCCGCCCCAGGAUGGGGCGCGGGGAGCGCGCUGAGCUGUCCUUUCCCGCAGCGGCCCCGCGGUUGAAGCGUGGGCUUGGGUUUUGGUUUUUCUUCUGUGGCAACAGUUCUGUUGAGAUAUUACUCGCCUGCCAUACAACUCACCCAUUUUAAAAGUACACCUCAGGGGUCCUGCGUGUAUUGACAAACCCGCCGCCGUCACCACAGCCAAUUUCAGAACAUUUUCAUCUCUUCAAAAGAAACCCUGUACCCUUCAGCUGUCACCCUCCUGGUCCCCAUCCGGUCCUCGUCCCGCCCUCAGCAGCCACGCACUGCCUGUAAAGUCCCCUGUCCUGCCCUGUAGGUGGAAUCUAUACCUUGGGGUCUGUUCUGACGUUCACCUAACAGCCUUUCCAGGCUCAGCUGUGCUAUUGUAUGGACCAGGGGGUUGUUUUGUUUUUGUUGUUUGUUGAUUGUGUGUGUGUGUGUGUGUGUGUGUGUGUGUGUGUGUGUGAGCCUGGCGUGGUUGCGGGCGCCUAUAAUCCCAGCUGCUCAGGAGGCUGAGGCAGGAGGAUCACUCGAGCUCAGGAGUUUGAGGCUGCAGAGUUGAUCAUGCCACUGGACUCCAUCCUGGGCGACAGAGCAAGACUCUGUCUUUUAAAAAAAAAAACGGGGCUGGGCGCGGUGGCUCACGCCCGUAAUCCCAACACUUUGGGAGGCCGAGGCAGGCGAAUCACGAGGUCAGGAUUUCGAGGCCAGCCUGGCCAACAUGGUGAAACCCCGUCUCUACUAAAAAUACAAAAAUUAGCUGGGCAUGGUGGCGGGCGCCUGUAAUCCCAGCUACUAGGGAGGCUGAGCCAAGAGAAUGGCUUGAAUCCGGGAGGCGGAGGCAGAGGUUGCAGUGAGCCGAGAUCGUGCCACUGCACUCCAGACUGCAGCCCUGGUGACAGUGCGAGACUCUGUCUCCAAAAAAAAAAAAAAAACAAACAAAAAACAAUAAAUAACAAGGUCGGCUGAGGUGGCUCACGUCUGUAAUCCUAGCACUUUGGGAGGCCGAGGCGGGUGGAUUACCUGAGAUCAGGAGUUUGAGACCAGCCUGACCAGCAUGGAGAAACCCCGUUUCUACUAAAAAUACAAAAUUAGCCAGGCGUGGUGGCGCAUGCCUGUAGUCCCAGCUACUCGGGAGGCUGAGGCAGGAGAAUCGCUUGAACCUGGGAGGCAGAGGUUGCAGUGAGCCGAGAUCAUGCCAUUGCACUUGCAGCCUGGGUGACAGAGCAAGACUCUGUCUCAAAAAAAAAAAAAAAAAAAGACUCAAAAAAAAACAAAAAUCAGCCAGGCGUGGUGGUGUACACCUGUAGUCCCAGCUACUCUGGAGGCUGAGGCAGGAGAAUCGCUUGAACCCAUGAGGCAGAGGUUGCAGUGAGCCGAGAUUGCGCCACUGCACUCCAGCCUGGCAACAGAGCAAGACUCCGUCUCAUAUAAAGAAAUAAAACAAAAAUAAACAAAUUUUAAAAACAAACACAUUCCUAUACAGGUUUCUGUGUGGACAGCGUCUGCUCUUGGGUCUGCACCUGGGAGUGGAAUUGCUGGGUUGUGUGGUAACUGGAUGUUCACCCAUAGGAUGAACGACCACACUCUUUUGCACAGUGGCCGAUGGUUCUGGUCUCUCUACAGCCUCACCAACUCUUAUAUUCUUUUUGAUUACAGCCACUCUAGCAGGCAUGAGGUGGUACGUCAUUGUGGCUUUGACCUGCAUUUCUCUGGUGUCUAAUGGUGUUGAGCAUUUUUUCGUGGGUGUUACUGACCAUUUGUAUAUCUUAGAGAAAUGUCUAUUCAGAUAAUUUGCCUAUUUUUAAUUGGGUUCGUUGUCUUUUUAUUGAGUUGUAAUACUUUAUUCGGGAUACUAGACCCUUAUUAGACACAUGAUUUGCAAAUAUUUUCACCCAUUCUUUGGGAUGUCUUGUUAACCUUUUUGAUGGUGUCCCUUGAAGCACAAAAGUUUUUAAUUUUGAUGAAAUCUAAUUUAUUUUUGUUGUUGUUCCUUGUGCUUUUGGUGUCAUAGCUAAGGAACCCCUGCUUAAUCCAAGAUCAUGAAGAUUUGUGUCUAUGAUUUCUUAACAGUUUUAUAGUUUAUUUAUAUUUAUAUAAAUAUGUUUUUGAGACAGGGUCUCACUCUGUUGGCGAGGCUGGUCUUGAACUCCUGACCUCAGGUGAUCUGCCUGGCUCAGCCUCCCAAAGUGCUGGGAUUGCAGCCGUGAGCCACCGCGCCCGGCUUGACUUCUUCCUUUUAUAUGUGGGUAUUUUUCUGUCCCAGCGUCAUUUGUUAAAAAGACAGUCCUUUCUCCGUGUAAUUGUUUUGGCACCGUGUGGAAACCCGCUGCCUGUAGCCAGGAGCUUCUUUCCAGCCCUCAGUUCUGUCCCAUUGCUCUGUGUGUC
RNAcentral lists this long non-coding RNA (2631 nucleotides) under Homo sapiens (human). RNAcentral's name for it is "non-protein coding lnc-BAIAP2-4:1". The record is from RNAcentral. Lineage: Eukaryota; Metazoa; Chordata; Mammalia; Primates; Hominidae.